CAGCUACCAAAGAAGUUGGAGGUGGCUGAUCUGUGCUCUUGUGGACAUCUUUGGAUCAUCUUACAAGCAGUCCUCUGAAGCAGGAAUGGAUAUGUGAACUAAGGGACUAUUGGGAGCUCCAACCAUUCUCUGGACCAUUUAGGACCCCUCAUCUGGACUUCAACCUCUCCUUGCUAAAAGACUCUAUAUAGUAAAAGACGAUUUGAGCGAGAUUGCAAAGAAGCUGACAGAGCUCAGCAGUAUUUUGAAAAAAUGGAUGCUGACAUUAAUGUUACAAAAGCAGAUGUUGAAAAGGGCUCCCUGUAUUGGUUCCCUGUGA
This 319-nucleotide long non-coding RNA is filed under the name Monodelphis domestica (gray short-tailed opossum). RNAcentral describes it as "lncRNA (ENSMODG00000047444.1)". The record is from RNAcentral. Lineage: Eukaryota; Metazoa; Chordata; Mammalia; Didelphimorphia; Didelphidae.